UACGUAGGGGGCUAGCGUUGUCCGGAUUUAUUGGGCGUAAAGCGCGUGUAGGCGGCCAGGUAGGUCUGCUGUGAAAACUCGAGGCUCAACCUCGAGACGUCGGCGGAAACCAUCUGGCUAGAGUCCGGAAGAGGAGAGUGGAAUUCCUGGUGUAGCGGUGAAAUGCGCAGAUAUCAGGAAGAACACCCGUGGCGAAGGCGACUCUCUGGGACGGGACUGACGCUGAGACGCGAAAGCGUGGGGAGCGAACAGG
Molecule: ribosomal RNA, 253 nt
Filed under: uncultured bacterium
Lineage: Bacteria
Description: partial 16S ribosomal RNA
Rfam family: Bacterial small subunit ribosomal RNA
Source: RNAcentral